This 253-nucleotide ribosomal RNA is filed under the name uncultured bacterium. RNAcentral's name for it is "partial 16S ribosomal RNA". It matches the Rfam family "Archaeal small subunit ribosomal RNA", at positions 474 to 727 of the family's 1478-position model. The record is from RNAcentral.
UACCAGCACCCCGAGUGGUCGGGACGAUUAUUGGGCCUAAAGCAUCCGUAGCCGGUUUUACAAGUCCUCCGUUAAAUCCAGCUGCUUAACAGAUGGGCUGCGGAGGAUACUAUAAGACUAGGAGGCAGGAGAGGCAAGCGGUACUCAGUGGGUAGGGGUAAAAUCCGUUGAUCCAUUGAAGACCACCAGAGGCGAAGGCGGCUUGCCAGAAUGCGCUCGACGGUGAGGGAUGAAAGCUGGGGGAGCAAACCGG